This 1555-nucleotide long non-coding RNA is filed under the name Olea europaea subsp. europaea. The record is from RNAcentral. Lineage: Eukaryota; Viridiplantae; Streptophyta; Magnoliopsida; Lamiales; Oleaceae.
CUAUUGUUAUACACCUAGAAAACAAAACUCUUCAUCCUCAUGAAUUAAAGGUGCAACAGAUCCUCACCAAAGUUGUGGUCCUCAUCAAAGUUGUUUUUUUCGUCCUCAAUAGCAUCAUAUUCCAAAUUAGAAUUAUUCUCUAAUGAAAUUGGUGUAAUUAGUGUUACAACAAAGUUAGCAGCUUUACCACAUCGCCGGUGCAUAAAAAGAUGUCAAGGCUACAAUGUAAAAUUGAACUGCUGCUCAACAACCUUCAACUUGUUUUACAUUCACCGCAUACUACCUCAGGUGGCCAAAUUAUUAAUAUUUUUAUUCCAUAUUCUAAAGCAUAUAACAACCAUACAAACCAAUAUCAUCAUCCUCUUCCAACUUACAUCUUUGGCACUCUUCAUAAAUUUUUCUCUCCGUGAAGAGAAAGCGAAAUAAAAGUUCAUAGAGGAAAAAAUAGUAAAUAAAUGAAAAAGGCUUUUAAUUAUCACUGAACAAACACGUUCAAUGACAUAAAGAAAAAUAGUGCGCGAGGCAUCCAAACUGAGUCAAGGAAACCAAUGGACCAACACUAGUAUGCCAUAGCUCAAAAUUUAGUGUCUUCCUUGUCCAUGUAGUAAAUCAAGUUAAAAUAGUAAAAAUUCACCAUUCAAAGAUCACAAGAAAUAGGAAUCAAGAAUCUUUACCAUGAAUCCAUAAAGUUUUCACUUGUACUUAAAUACACUUAAACAGUGAUUUGGUGUUACUUCAACGACAAAUUCUUCAAUAAAAUAAUAUUACACGCAAUUUCAAAACUUUUCCUUAUUUUUUAACUACACAUUUCUUAUCAAUACACUAUUCAAAAAUGCAAUCUUAUGAAAAUAAUGUGGCUCAAACAAGAGCUUAAUAUGCAAUCUAAUUACUCAAACAAUUCUAUGCAAAUAUAAAAUAUUAGAGUAAGAAAACAAAUAUUAACUAGAAUGAUCCUGCAAUUCUUUUAACAGAUUCAUCUCUUCAUAGUAGAGUCCCAGCUUCAACUUUUGUUCAAUAGAGCUCGUGUAUCUAAGGUUUUUUUCCUUUCUUGCUUCAACCCCAAAAACACUUUGAAAUGACCCAUCUUCACAUCAACCAAUCAAUUAAAAAUAUAGCAUCUUUUUCUAUUCAAAAAUCACACCAUUUACCAAAUAGGCAAAUUCAUGCACACUUAUUGAAUGAAAUCAAAAGGUAAAGAAAGGAAUUACGUAGUUAUUAGGAAGGACAAAAAAUAAAAUAAAAUAGAGCCAAGACAAAUAUUCAAAAAAUCAAGAAGCAUAAGAGGAACUAAUGAUAUAUCCACACGAAAUCAUACUCGUACAAAUCAAAGAAAGGGUCAGAUUGUAUUAUAUUAAGGAAAUGAAAAAUAGACAACCUGUUGCAGAUGUAGGACGGGUUAAAUUCACCAAUGCCACUCAACUUUAUACUUAGUUUCACCAUGGCCACUCAAUUUCAUUUUGUUUCAUCAGGGCCACUAAAAUUUUUAUUUAGUGUCACAAAGGGCAUCUAAUUUGAUUUUAUUUUUCCGUGACCAUCCAAUUUCAUAUAAAGUUUC